RNAcentral lists this long non-coding RNA (364 nucleotides) under Oryza sativa Indica Group (long-grained rice). RNAcentral describes it as "lncRNA OsMH63_08G012490". Lineage: Eukaryota; Viridiplantae; Streptophyta; Magnoliopsida; Poales; Poaceae. The record is from RNAcentral.
AUGGCUGUGUGCUGCACCGGCGGAAAGGGGACCCACGGCGACGAGCGGCGCCGCUGCGGACGGAGCGGCUUGCCAUUGUGGACGACGACGGCGGCGCCUGGGCGCCGAAGACCUGAUGGAGGCUCGAUCUGCGGCUGCUGGUUGCCACGGGCUGCUUGCUGCUUGCUUGAAGAUGAAGGGGCGAAUGAGCUUGCUGGGGCUAGUUUGCUGCUUGGAGACCACGACGAAGAAAAAGACUCAAAUCCCAUCGCUGGUGAUGCCUCCCUAUUGCUCCCCGACUGGGUCGAGCCGUGCGCAUCUGCCGUGGGAAUUCGGAGCGCCAGACAGCACUGCGCAGGCCGUUGUGCCAAAUGACCUUGUCAGA